CAGACCAUCCAUUCUCUCCUUUGCUGGCCUUGAUGAAAUAAUCUACCAUAGAGACCUCUGUGGCAAAGAACUAGGAGCCGACUCCAGCUAAGAGCAGCAGGGAAGUAAGGCCUGUAUUCUGAUAACCCACAAGGAACUGAAUCCUGCUGACAACCAUGUCCAACUCAGAGGCUUCACCCCACAAUGAACCACAUUUCUUCAGCACUCUCAUAGCAUUGGCUUCAUCACAAUCUGCCUCAUCUCAGAAUAACAGCAUUCAGAAAAUAUGAAGAAAAAGAAGGGAGGGAAGGAUGGAUGGGCAGAGGUAUUCCUAGCACCAUUGGAAUUGUUAAGAGACAGUAGAGGCCAGAUGACUGGAGUGAGCAAAUGACAAAAGAAACUUCACCUAUGGCCAGCCGAAGUCAGAAGACCCGGGCCAUCUGGUCUGCUCUUGUUUUGGGGUUGCCACGGAAGCCCUCUUGCAGAAUUGCUCUGUGAGUGGCAAGAAGUGUCACUAAAAAAUAGAAAAUAAAGGCUGCAGAUUGUCAUGUUUGUAAAAAGCAAUCAUGUUAGCACAAGUCUUUGCCUGUUCUGUCGCCUCCCC
RNAcentral lists this long non-coding RNA (583 nucleotides) under Heterocephalus glaber (naked mole-rat). RNAcentral describes it as "lncRNA (ENSHGLG00000033804.1)". The record is from RNAcentral. Lineage: Eukaryota; Metazoa; Chordata; Mammalia; Rodentia; Bathyergidae.